Molecule: long non-coding RNA, 1399 nt
Filed under: Felis catus (domestic cat)
Lineage: Eukaryota; Metazoa; Chordata; Mammalia; Carnivora; Felidae
Description: lncRNA (ENSFCAG00000052067.1)
Source: RNAcentral
CUUGGAACUCAGAAAACAUCCAUGCCCGGGGCCACCCUCUAUUCGUGACUGUCUCAGUAUAAUAGAUUCUGUAUGAGAUUCUAGUUGUGCGGAUAUAGUGUCAGAGAGAAGAGUGUGGUUCAGAAACCCACGAGGUAGGCUGAAGCAAGAACUGACAGGUCUGAUGCUUGGGGCCGAUGGCAGAGAAAGACAGACGGACUUGUGGGAGUGUUGGUAUAGAUGGCUAUAGAUUUCUCCUGAUUUAAUUGUCGCAAAAUGCCAAGUAGUAGGAAGUAGGUAGUUACUCAUGUUACAGACAACGAACCCAAUAUCUUUGGAGAGGUGAGCGGAUUUUGCAAGGAUUGUCCACAUGGACACCUGACUCAUUGUGCAUGCCCUGAGCAUCCCACCUGCUCGCCACUUACUCAGCAGCUGAGGAUGCUUGGAUGGUGAGGAACAGCGUGUUUUUCAAGAGAAUUGCAUUGCUUACCUGACUGAGGUGGCUUUAAACUGGAAUUCAGGGACAAGGAGCAAAAUACCAGACUAUUAAUUGUUAACUGUAGAGAACUAGGAUCCUGAUGCUAAAGGAAGAAUAGUACAGUAUUCCUCUUUCUUUUUUUUUAAUUAAAAUUUUAGAAAAAUGUUUAUUUAUUUAUUUUUAAGAGCGGGAAAGAGGGAGACACAGAAUCCGAAACAGGCACCAGGCUCUGAGCUGUCAGCACAGAGCCCGACGUGGGGCUCGAACUCACGGAACAUGAGAUCAUGACCUGAGCCGAAGUCGGACGCUUAACUGACUGAACCACCCAGGCGCCCCUCUUUCUUUUCCUUCUUUUUUUUUUUUAAAGCAGACCUCACACCCAGCAUGGAGCCCAAAACGGGGCUCAAACUCACGAAGCUGAGAUCAACACCUGAGCUGAGAUCAAGAGUCAGAUGUUUAACCAACUGUGUCACCCAGACCCCCCGUUGUGUACAGCUAUCCUAAGGAGGGACAAACAGGAGAAUGCCCAGCAUCAAGGCUCAUAUUCGCUCAACUCAGGCAAACAAACAAACACAUGAAAACACACAAUGGGAAUGACUGUUAAAGACAUUAAAAGAACUGCAUGGCAGAUCCCUAUAGGAAGUUUGAUAUCUGACUGAUAGAGUCCCACAAAAAGAAAGCAGAUAAAACUGAGGAGAGAUAAUUGACCAAGAAAUAAUAGAAACAAAUUCCUAGAGUCAACGAGUAACAUUUCUGUAUUGAAAGAACCUGCCACACUUCCGAUGCAGUCGACGCAAAGUGACUGAAAUCUGGACUUGGCACCAUGAAACCCAAAACUGAAGGAGCUCCUAAAAGCUCCUAAAAGAGGAGAGAAGCAAACAAAAGCAGAAGGUCCACAAGGAAACAAGAGACGGCCUGGCAUCUCCUCAUCAGCGACCUCGG